Anthonomus grandis grandis is the source of this 1994-nucleotide long non-coding RNA. RefSeq lists it as uncharacterized. The transcript is spliced from 3 exons. NCBI's taxonomy places the organism in Eukaryota, Metazoa, Arthropoda, Insecta, Coleoptera, Curculionidae. The record is from RefSeq and is a predicted model, not a curated record.
AGCAUCUAAUUCGCGCAUUUAAUGUUAGUGAGUUGCCAUUUACACCGGAAAACUAGUCCUCGUGGUGCCAUUUCAUCCAUUUAUUAAAUAUUUGGUACACGCAUUAUAAACGUAGCUACUAGUGUCGAAGCCCCUUUAUGUCAGUUCACAAUAGAACUUUCAAAACGGUCCUGGUAGAUCCACCUUGUACAGGAUAAUUUAUAUUCCCUGCCACUGGUCGAAAUUUAUGACAAACUGCGUGGUGCUCAACCUCUUGUCAGUGCGGCAUUUUUCUUUGACUAACCGGCUUCGGCGGUGGCGUGGCGGCCAUCUUCGCUGGGGCCGCAGAAGGAAGCCAUUUUUCACGUCAUCCCCGACAGAACACACAUGCCUUCUUUAAUGACGACGACGACGACGACGACGACGAUGACGACGACGACGCACCGAGACCUGUUUCAGGUCUUCGUCUUCUUCUUCUUCUUCUGCUUCUUCUUCCUCUGCUUAUAUGUGAAGUUGAUGGCAUCUGCAACAUCUCGCCGCUCUUAUUAUUCUGUUUUUAAAACUUCAUUAUAAGUGCCGCCUUUAAAUGAUGAUCAUCGUCGCGCUUGCCAUUUCAUGAAAGAACCUGUUUUGUCGUAAAUUUUACUUAUUCAGUUUAAAGAAUUUAGGAUAUUUCACCAUAUAUUAGCGUAUUAUAUCAUCAUCGAGUUGGAAUUUGUUUGUAUAAUCCUCUUUCAAAAUUAAUAAAAUAUACCCACGUAAACCGUUGAAAACAUUUUAAUAUUUAUUGAUAUUAAUAUAUCUAAAAAUAAAUCCGUAACAAAUAUGCGUUGACACGUGCAGGCUCAUAAUUACCCCCGUUUAACCACACACGUUUAAUUUGCUAAACUUAUUUUCAGUGUUCAAAGGUUGGCACAAAUGAGCCUUAAAAAUAACCAGCUUGAUGAAUAGAAGACUAAGGGAAGCGUAAUGGCAACUAUAAAAUAAAGUUAUAAAUAACUCGGCCAUAAAUUCAAGUGACAAGGGCGUAAAUUUAAAAAUAUAUCGCGGUCGUUAUUUAUCGGGCCCCAUUCGUUCGUUCGCUCGCUCGCCGGGUAACGAGAAACUCGGCUACUUUAACUUCGCGACAAGAUUGUAAAUCGCGGAUUAUUUGUUACUUUCGCGGAAUGCAGUGGCGGCCCCACGGUCGCUCCUUCCCACUCUUAUUUGCGAUAUAAAUCAUAAUGAGGAUCGCACGCACACCUAAUGUGCUCAACUUUUUAGUAGAACCAUGUGUAUAAAUUAUCUAUCAGUCAGCAGUCUGUUAAUUUUGGCCCAGAAAGACGCAGAGCGUUGUUUCCAAAUGUUCUUCUCUUGUUCAGAGCCUUGAAAGCUUGGGCGAUUCAAAUCUUCUACUCCACGACAUACAGAUGGCGGUGUAUUGCUGACAGAUGGAACGAAGGAAAAUUUCUAAAAAAGAAGUGAAUUGUAUUCUAUAAGAACUCAGAAAAAAAUAAGAAAAACUAUAUCAUCAUAUGUAAUUCAUUUGUGAUUCAUUCAUGUCCAAUUCAAGGAGGAACCUUAAACCAGAUGUCACAUCUUCAAUUAACCUUCCAGGCUUAAUAUAAGAUAAGUUAGAAUGGUCUUCUUAACAAAUCGCGUCAUCAGAAGUGGCAGUAAAAGCUGGAUAACACGAGAUGCUUCCCUCAGACAACAAUCAAGCAUUGAUUAAAACAUUGAGUUUAAAAACUUUGAGUUUAAUCAGCUACUAUUAAUAGAAACAUAUAUUUAAUUUAUAAUAUUUACUAAGGAACAUUACUAGUGAAUUAGGUAUGCAGUAAUUUCUUCGUGAUUUUAUUGAAUUUUUAUAUUUAACUUUUUGUAACACGUAAUUAAAUUAACUUGUAAGUUUACACAUUAUGGAAUUUGGAAGAAUUUUUAUAUGUUAUUUAAUGGUUUAAGAAGCAUGUAUAAUGUACAAUUGUUAAUUUUUAUUGUAUAAUCUCUUUUUAUAAUAUAGUAAGACAUUUUAUGAA